GUUGGGUUGUUGAGAUUGCAGAUGACUGGUGACUGCAAUGGGCAUGGUAUUGGCCUUAUACUAAAGAUUGGUUCUAUGUCAACAGUUGUUUGCAGAGUGGCUCCGUUUGUUGCAGAUCUAACAUAUUACUGGUUGUUUCGGUUUUACCUAAUUGUUGUUUGGUUGCUUUGACUGGUUGGUGGAAUUCUUGUGAAGGUUUAUGUUAUGCUGAAAUUCACCCUUGUUUUUAUGAGAUAUUAGAGCGGUAUUUUGUAUGUUAUUGGUUGAUUCAUUGGCUAAGUUGCAUUCUUCACUUUGCAGGGGAGCAUAAAAGUCUUCAAGACUUGAAGGAUGCAAUUUAGUACAAAUUGCAAUUUUAAAUCAUUGAUAAGAUGGUGGCGGCUAGUUAACGUGCUCUUUGUCAGCCGAUAAUAUGAUUUACCAAAUUCUUGAUAGUGCUGAGAUAUUGAUUCGUUGUGUUGGCCCCCAUAGUUAUGCUGUGUAACCCUUUCUUGAGUUGGAUUGCGCGAGAACGGUUGGUAGCUUGGAAUUGUUUUGCAAGAUUGUUCCAACUUUCAGCUGUGGUGGUGAGAUGAAUGAUAUAAGGAUGGAAGAAGAAAUGGUAGAGAAUCUUGCUGCAAAGAAGUUUCGAUCGACAUGAUGCCAGAGAAGAAGCCCUAGCGGCCACGAAUGGAAACGCGAGCACUUGAGAGGCGAACCAGAAGAAGUAGAGGCGUAGCUGACCAAGGAUGAAGCAAGAUGUUGUUUAACCAAUCACUGGUGGUGAUUGACAAUUGUUGCAGGAUCUGUUGAAAAACUUUUGCAGAAUAACAUCUAAGAAGUUGCUAGCUUAUUCUGCAUAUCGUAUGCACUUUCAUUGGAUAGUACGGCCAUGCCAAUAAAUACUUGUGUAAUGGGAUCGGUACAUCCAAAGAGAUGAAAUGAUGAAUGGCUUACUUUUACAUGAGAAGGAUAUAUGACAAACACAAAAGCAUAAUAUUGGAGUUACAAAUUUGUUGUUACUGUCAACGCUAAUCGUUUAUUGACAUGUUUCAUCAAGGACAUCAGCAUCUAAUUAGGGAGCAUAAUUUUGAGUAUGAUUUAGAUCUGUCUGAGAGAAUGAUUGGAAGGAAUAUUACUUGAAGGCCAGUCUCUAUUGUAGUUAUGGGGGCUCUCGCCUGGUCUUGGAGCCGCUGUAAAGCCUAAAUGCAGAAGAGAAAGGUGAAGAAAGUUAAAAUGCAGGCAACCACGUUAGGGUUGAGGAUAUCACCUAUGUUUGCUUCAUUCAUUGCAUUGUUAAUGAUAAUUAUCAUAUACAACAACAACAAAGCCUUAAUCCCACUACGUGGGGUCGGCUACAUGAAUCUUUUUUCUCCAUUGCAUCCUAUGUAGUGUCAUAUUUAAUGAUAAUUAUCAUAUAUAAAAAAAAAGAUAAACAUUAAUGCGUUAAUAUGAACUUUAAUAAUAAGUGUUGUUAAUAUGAAUUUUAUGAAAAUGGAGAGGAAUAUAAUCACUAAUGUGAGAAGUUGAUUUUAGUGAGUAAUCACAUGCAGUCGUACCUCACAUC
Molecule: long non-coding RNA, 1546 nt
Organism: Phalaenopsis equestris
Lineage: Eukaryota; Viridiplantae; Streptophyta; Magnoliopsida; Asparagales; Orchidaceae
Exons: 5
Source: RefSeq, a predicted model, not a curated record